RNAcentral lists this ribosomal RNA (359 nucleotides) under uncultured bacterium. Its description in RNAcentral is "bacterial SSU rRNA". It matches the Rfam family "Bacterial small subunit ribosomal RNA", at positions 145 to 502 of the family's 1533-position model. The record is from RNAcentral.
ACCCUGGUGAAAACCAGGCUAAUACCGCAUACGCCCUACGGGGGAAAGCGGGGGACCUUCGGGCCUCGCACUAUUGGAUGAGCCUAUGUCUGAUUAGCUAGUUGGUAGGGUAAAAGCCUACCAAGGCGACGAUCAGUAGCUGGUUUGAGAGAAUGAUCAGCCACACUGGGACUGAGACACGGCCCAGACUCUACGGGAGGCAGCAGUGGGGAAUAUUGGACAAUGGGCGCAAGCCUGAUCCAGCAAUGCCGCGUGUGUGAAGAAGGCCUGAGGGUUGUAAAGCACUUUCAAUUGUGAAGAAAAGUUUAAGGUUAAUAACCUAAACCGUGACGUUAACUUUAGAAGAAGCACCGCUAACU